This 534-nucleotide long non-coding RNA is filed under the name Homo sapiens (human). RNAcentral describes it as "HSALNT0068336". The record is from RNAcentral. Lineage: Eukaryota; Metazoa; Chordata; Mammalia; Primates; Hominidae.
CGAUAUCUGCCACGAAGCUGUUGUUCCACACCAGAACCAAAUGAACGCAAGAUCUGACAAAGAAAAAAAGAGUCCCUGUAUCCUGAGAUGGAGUCACCUGAGAAUCCACAGCAAGUCCUAACCAGGGAUGGGUCUGGGUGAUUAAGGAAGGUUGGCUUCAGAACUGGGCCAGGGGCACUGCUUUGCUUUUGCUGUUUUGAUCAGCUCUCUGCCUGCAGGAGACAAGGAAAACCAAUGGGAACAGCUGGGGAAACUGAAUUACAGAGCUUUUCUGCACUGAAUCAUCAGGAGCAAAUGCUAGAUCAGAUAGGGUCUCUCUCUCUGCCACUCAGGCCACAGUGCAGUUGACGCAGGGCAGGGGAGCCCCGAAGUGGAGCAUAGUGUGUCCAGAACUGGUGGGUUCUUGGUCUCACUGACUUCAAGAAUGAAGCCACAGACCCUCGGGAAACUCCUGGAGGGCAGAGGCAUGCCUGCCAUCUUCAUCAAUGCAUUACCACCACCCAACACUAUCGGGGGACCUGCCCUGAUAAUCAG